Long non-coding RNA from Oncorhynchus gorbuscha (pink salmon), 729 nucleotides. RefSeq lists it as uncharacterized. The transcript has 3 exons. Lineage: Eukaryota; Metazoa; Chordata; Actinopteri; Salmoniformes; Salmonidae. The record is from RefSeq and is a predicted model, not a curated record.
CCCAGAGGUGGACAGUGUUGAUGAACCCAGAGGUGGACAGUGUUGAUGAACCCAGAGGUGGACAGUGUUGAUGAACCCAGAGGUGGACAGUGUUGAUGAACCCAGAGGUGGACAGUGUUGAUGAACCCAGAGGUGGACAGUGUUGAUGAACCCAGAGGUGGACAGUGUUGAUGAACCCAGAGGUGGACAGUGUUGAUGAACCCAGAGGUGGACAGUGUUGAUGAACCCAGAGGUGGACAGUGUUGAUGAACCCAGAGGUGGACAGUGUUGAUGAACCCAGAGGUGGACAGUGUUGAUGAACCCAGAGGUGGACAGUGUUGAUGAACCCAGAGGUGGACAGUGUUGAUGAACCCAGAGGUGGACAGUGUUGAUGAACCCAGAGGUGGACAGUGUUGAUGAACCCAGAGGUGGACAGUGUUGAUGAACCCAGAGGUGGACAGUGUUGAUGAACCCAGAGGUGGACAGUGUUGAUGAACCCAGAGGUGGACAGUGUUGAUGAACCCAGAGGUGGACAGUGUUGAUGAACCCAGAGGUGGACAGUGUUGAUGAACCCAGAGGUGGACAGUGUUGAUGAACCCAGAGGUGGACAGUGUUGAUGAACCCAGAGGUGGACAGUGUUGAUGAACCCAGAGGUGGACAGUGUUGAUGAACCCAGAGGUGGACAGUGUUGAUGAACCCAGAGGUGGACAGUGUUGAUGAACCCAGAGGUGGACAGUGUUGAUGAACCCA